Molecule: ribosomal RNA, 253 nt
Filed under: uncultured prokaryote
Description: partial 16S ribosomal RNA
Rfam family: Bacterial small subunit ribosomal RNA
Source: RNAcentral
ACGUAGGAUGCAAGCGUUAUCCGGAAUUAUUGGGCGUAAAGCGUACGUAGGCGGUUUACCAAGUCUGGAGUUAAAGACCGAGGCUCAACCUCGGGAGUGCUCUGGAAACUGGUAGGCUGGAGGGCGGCAGAGGAGCGUGGAAUUCCGGGUGGAGUGGUGAAAUGCGUAGAGAUCCGGAGGAACACCAGAGGCGAAAGCGGGGCUCUGGGCCGCACCUGACGCUGAACUGCGAAAGCCAGGGUAGCGAACGGGA